This 628-nucleotide long non-coding RNA is filed under the name Vitis vinifera (wine grape). RNAcentral's name for it is "long non-coding RNA (VVIN_LNC004689)". Lineage: Eukaryota; Viridiplantae; Streptophyta; Magnoliopsida; Vitales; Vitaceae. The record is from RNAcentral.
AAGCCUUCUUGUUCAUUUCUGCUAGAGGGGAGCUCUCCCAGAUCAUCCGGAGGGCAAAUGAGCUUGGAGAGAAUUGUGGGUUUCUUGUUUGAAAGCGCCAUGACUGAAGGUUCCAGGGGCAGAGUCCAAUGCAUCGAAGCACCUCAAUAAUGUUGUUUUGACUGGCUGGUUGCAUCCUUGGAUGAAAGUCCAUCCAGAAAACCCACCUGUGAAGCAAGCCCCAUGAACCCGUCACCACCUUUUCUCUCUCCCUAACCACCACAUCCAUUUCAUACUUCCAUGCAUGAAGCCCCAUGCACAAGGCCACCUCCACCCAGCUCCAUUUUCAACCUCCAUACCCAUCUUACCCUCUUUCAUGCCCACGGUACCCAUUGUUGGCUGCCCAUUCCACUCAUCAUGCCCGUUUCCUUCAAUGAUCAUACCCGUUGCAGCACCUUCACCUCACCACCUUCCCUAACUGCACCACCAAUUCCCUUUCUCUCUCUAAGUCUUCAUCUCCCAACUCAUUUUCUUACUGAUAAUGGAGACACAUCCCUACACCAGCUUGAGAACCUUUGCAUGCGCUACACCCAAAACGGAGCACCAUGGUGUACGUUUGCUAAAAUUCCACAUUUCGGAAAGACAUCAU